GAUGAACGCUGGCGGCGUGCCUAAUACAUGCAAGUCGAGCGAACGGACGAGAAGCUUGCUUCUCUGAUGUUAGCGGCGGACGGGUGAGUAACACGUGGAUAACCUACCUAUAAGACUGGGAUAACUUCGUGAAACCGGAUCUAAUACCGGAUAAUAUUUUGAACCGCAUUGUUCAAUAGUUAAAGACGGUCUUGCUGUCACUUAUAGAUGGAUCCGCGCUGCAUUAGCUAGUUGGUAAGGUAACGGCUUACCAAGGCAACGAUGCAUAUCCGACCUGAGAGGGUGAUAGGCGACACUGGAACUGAGACACGGUCCAGACACCUACGGGAGGGAGCAGAAGGGAAUAUUCGGCAAUGGGCGAAAGAGUGACGGAGAAAAGCCGCGUGAGAGAUGAAGGUGUUGGGAUCGUAAAAAACUGUUAUUAGGGAAGAAAAUAAGUGUAAGAAAAUGUGCACAUAUUGACGGUAAAUAAAAAGAAAGCAACGGCUAACUACGUG
This 497-nucleotide ribosomal RNA is filed under the name uncultured bacterium. RNAcentral's name for it is "partial 16S ribosomal RNA". It matches the Rfam family "Bacterial small subunit ribosomal RNA", at positions 28 to 507 of the family's 1533-position model. The record is from RNAcentral.